AAUUGAAAACACUUCUCCAGAGCACAACUCUUUAGCCCCUUUGAGAGCCUCUUUAGCCCCUUUGAGAGCCCUGCCUUUGUUGGGAAAGGUGGAUGUGAACCACCACUCAUGAGAUCAACCAGUGAGAUAUUUGGGAUUUUUGAUUAUCAAGAUGUUGUAACUAUGUCUCAAAUAAAGAAGGAAAUUGGUCUAAUCACUGUAUCUACAUCAAUAAACUUUUAUUAGAAUUUUAUUCAACUAGGAAGGAUACCCAAAAAUAUGGGCAGGGUAACUUUUUCCUUGUCUGGUC
This 289-nucleotide long non-coding RNA is filed under the name Vitis vinifera (wine grape). RNAcentral describes it as "long non-coding RNA (VVIN_LNC000026)". Lineage: Eukaryota; Viridiplantae; Streptophyta; Magnoliopsida; Vitales; Vitaceae. The record is from RNAcentral.